RNAcentral lists this ribosomal RNA (403 nucleotides) under uncultured bacterium. Its description in RNAcentral is "bacterial SSU rRNA". It matches the Rfam family "Bacterial small subunit ribosomal RNA", at positions 355 to 775 of the family's 1533-position model. The record is from RNAcentral.
UGGGGAAUAUUGGACAAUGGGGGCAACCCUGAUCCAGCAAUGCCGCGUGGGUGAAGAAGGUCUUCGGAUUGUAAAGCCCUUUCGGCGGGGACGAUGAUGACGGUACCCGCAGAAGAAGCCCCGGCUAACUUCGUGCCAGCAGCCGCGGUAAUACGAAGGGGGCUAGCGUUGCUCGGAAUUACUGGGCGUAAAGGGCGCGUAGGCGGUUGACCAAGUCAGGCGUGAAAUCCCCGGGCUCAACCUGGGGGCUGCGCUUGAGACUGGUUGGCUAGAGGACGGAAGAGGGCGGUGGAAUUCCCAGUGUAGAGGUGAAAUUCGUAGAUAUUGGGAAGAACACCAGUGGCGAAGGCGGCCGCCUGGUCCGUUACUGACGCUGAGGCGCGACAGCGUGGGGAGCAAACAG